Molecule: ribosomal RNA, 861 nt
Filed under: uncultured Alteromonadaceae bacterium
Lineage: Bacteria; Pseudomonadati; Pseudomonadota; Gammaproteobacteria; Alteromonadales; Alteromonadaceae
Description: bacterial SSU rRNA
Rfam family: Bacterial small subunit ribosomal RNA
Source: RNAcentral
CCUGAUGCAGCCAUGCCGCGUGUGUGAAGAAGGCCUUCGGGUUGUAAAGCACUUUCAGUUGUGAGGAAAAGUGAGUAGUUAAUACCUGCUCACCGUGACGUUAACAACAGAAGAAGCACCGGCUAACUCCGUGCCAGCAGCCGCGGUAAUACGGAGGGUGCGAGCGUUAAUCGGAAUUACUGGGCGUAAAGCGCACGCAGGCGGUUUGUUAAGCUAGAUGUGAAAGCCCCGAGCUCAACUUGGGAUGGUCAUUUAGAACUGGCAGACUAGAGUCUUGGAGAGGGGAGUGGAAUUCCAGGUGUAGCGGUGAAAUGCGUAGAUAUCUGGAGGAACAUCAGUGGCGAAGGCGACUCCCUGGCCAAAGACUGACGCUCAUGUGCGAAAGUGUGGGUAGCGAACAGGAUUAGAUACCCUGGUAGUCCACACCGUAAACGCUGUCUACUAGCUGUUUGUGGCUUUAAGCCGUGAGUAGCGAAGCUAACGCGAUAAGUAGACCGCCUGGGGAGUACGGCCGCAAGGUUAAAACUCAAAUGAAUUGACGGGGGCCCGCACAAGCGGUGGAGCAUGUGGUUUAAUUCGAUGCAACGCGAAGAACCUUACCUACACUUGACAUGCAGAGAACUUUCUAGAGAUAGAUUGGUGCCUUCGGGAACUCUGACACAGGUGCUGCAUGGCUGUCGUUAGCUCGUGUCGUGAGAUGUUGGGUUAAGUCCCGCAACGAGCGCAACCCUUGUCCUUAGUUGCCAGCAUUCAGUUGGGCACUCUAAGGAGACUGCCGGUGACAAACCGGAGGAAGGUGGGGACGACGUCAAGUCAUCAUGGCCCUUACGUGUAGGGCUACACACGUGCUACAAUGGCAUU